This 507-nucleotide ribosomal RNA is filed under the name uncultured bacterium. RNAcentral describes it as "partial 16S ribosomal RNA". It matches the Rfam family "Bacterial small subunit ribosomal RNA", at positions 28 to 507 of the family's 1533-position model. The record is from RNAcentral.
GACGAACGCUGGCGGCGUGCCUAAUACAUGCAAGUCGAACGCAUUUUCUUUCACCGUAGCUUGCUACACCGAAAGAAAAUGAGUGGCGAACGGGUGAGUAACACGUGGGUAACCUGCCCAUCAGCGGGGGAUAACACUUGGAAACAGGUGCUAAUACCGCAUAAUUCCAUUUACCGCAUGGUAGAUGGAUGAAAGGCGCUUUUGCGUCACUGAUGGAUGGACCCGCGGUGCAUUAGCUAGUUGGUGGGGUAACGGCCUACCAAGGCUGCGAUGCAUAGCCGACCUGAGAGGGUGAUCGGCCACACUGGGACUGAGACACGGCCCAGACUCCUACGGGAGGCAGCAGUAGGGAAUCUUCGGCAAUGGACACAAGUCUGACCGAGCAACGCCGCGUGAGUGAAGAAGGUUGUCGGAUCGUAAAACUCGGUUGUUAGAGAAGAACAAGGAUGAGAGUGGAAAGUUCAUCCCUUGACGGUAGCUAACCAGAAAGCCACGGCUAACUACGUG